This is a long non-coding RNA of Zophobas morio, 923 nucleotides long. RefSeq lists it as uncharacterized. The transcript has 3 exons. Lineage: Eukaryota; Metazoa; Arthropoda; Insecta; Coleoptera; Tenebrionidae. The record is from RefSeq and is a predicted model, not a curated record.
UGUAAGUAUACAAAUUCGUUUUUACUUUGUUAUAUUUAUUGCUUGUAGGAUCAUUAUAUCACAUUUUUCUAGAAAAAAGAAUGUUUCCACAUCCGAAGCAGGACCUAGAUAGGUUUAUGGCGUGGGUUAAAGCCACGAAUAGGCCAAAAUUUGCGGUAUUAACCAGUGACCAAGUUUAUCGAAGAGAGUACGUUUGCUGCAGUACCAACGAUUUUGCCUUUUCAAGAUGAUACUGUACUUACAACAUCUCAUCUUCCUGACCCCAAUAAACGAAGAAUGUCCACAUUGCCCUCCCUUGCACUGGGCCUUCACAAUUGCAAUGUGUUCCAAAAAUCGGUCCUUAGGUGCAGUGUGUCUUCGUUCAUCUCAUGGAUUCUGUCUAUGACAGCGGUAAUGGAGAAUUUGGAGAAUGCGGUGGUGGUGUCAUACUUGUUGGCUAGAAGGAACACUUUUCCCAGCAACCUUUUACAAAUUUUUAUUUUAAUCAAGAUACUUUAGAGAAUUUUUCGGGUCAGUUAAGACAAUAUCGAGUACGAACGAGGAUUCGUGCCAUUUUAUAAAUCAUUGGUGAUGAAGAAUUUUUGCUUCUAUCAUUCUCGUGGAUCUAAUUCUGAACAAGAAGAGGACUGAUUUGUGGUCACAAUUAAGGAGUUUCUUGGUCUUCAAACAACUCGAACGUAUAGCGAAGAUUAGUGAAAGCCGCCACCAGUUCCUGAUACUGUAUCAAAGGAUACCUAAUCUUUACGGCCAGAAUGUUGUAGGCUGCAUUGGCGGAUUUCUAGUCAAAGAUAUGUCACAACAACACAGUAUUUUCAGUCCUAUAACUUAUUUGUCACUUUAAUUUAGCAGAUAAAGCUGAUGUAUUUUGAAAAAUUAAGUGUAACUUAGUGUUUAGAAUAAAAAGUUUUAGGAAUCAGUUAUCA